AAAACGACUCUCGGCAACGGAUAUCUCGGCUCUCGCAUCGAUGAAGAACGUAGCGAAAUGCGAUACUUGGUGUGAAUUGCAGAUCCCGUGAACCAUCGAGUUUUUGAACGCAAGUUGCGCCCAAAGCCUUCGGGUUGAGGGYACGUCUGCCUGGGUGUCACGC
This 163-nucleotide ribosomal RNA is filed under the name Moeroris stipulata. RNAcentral's name for it is "Phyllanthus stipulatus 5.8S ribosomal RNA". Lineage: Eukaryota; Viridiplantae; Streptophyta; Magnoliopsida; Malpighiales; Phyllanthaceae. The record is from RNAcentral.